AGUGAACGCUGGCGGUAGGCCUGACACAUGCCAGUCGAACGGCAGCACAGUAAGAGCUUGCUCUUACGGGUGGCGAGUGGCGGACGGGUGAGGAAUACAUCGGAAUCUACUUUUUCGUGGGGGAUAACGUAGGGAAACUUACGCUAAUACCGCAUACGACCUACGGGUGAAAGCAGGGGAUCUUCGGACCUUGCGCGAUUGAAUGAGCCGAUGUCGGAUUAGCUAGUUGGCGGGGUAAAGGCCCACCAAGGCGACGAUCCGUAGCUGGUCUGAGAGGAUGAUCAGCCACACUGGAACUGAGACACGGUCCAGACUCCUACGGGAGGCAGCAGUGGGGAAUAUUGGACAAUGGGCGCAAGCCUGAUCCAGCCAUACCGCGUGAGUGAAGAAGGCCUUCGGGUUGUAAAGCCCUUUUGUUGGGAAAGAAAAGCAGCAGGUUAAUACCCCGCUGUUCUGACGGUACCCAAAGAAUAAGCACCGGCUAACUUCGUG
Molecule: ribosomal RNA, 492 nt
Filed under: uncultured bacterium
Lineage: Bacteria
Description: partial 16S ribosomal RNA
Rfam family: Bacterial small subunit ribosomal RNA
Source: RNAcentral